This 202-nucleotide unclassified non-coding RNA is filed under the name Hevea brasiliensis (rubber tree). Lineage: Eukaryota; Viridiplantae; Streptophyta; Magnoliopsida; Malpighiales; Euphorbiaceae. The record is from RNAcentral.
GAAAAUCCAGGGUUAGAAACGUAAGUUUUUACCAGAGCAGUCACAUCAGUUUUUACCGGCAAGAAACCCAACCCUCUAAAAUCUAGAGAUCUGAAUAAAGAAGCAAGAGUUUUAAUCUGUUUUAUUUCAUGUAUGUUGUGUUAUCGAUUAAGUAGCCGGUGAACGAGGGGUGAUGGAUGUUAACAGUGGUUUGAAUAUCUUU